CAUCAUUCUUCUCGUUAUGUCCAAAAAAAGUGUCACCAGAACUUCCAACUUCUUCAAACUUUUUGAAUGAAGAACUCGAACAGGAAAUACAUUUCUAAAGGAGGAGUACAUUAUGUUACUGGAUGGAACUAGAAGAAAUACAUUUGUGGAGUGGAAUUGUUGAUUAAUGAUAUUAAUUGUUGGAUAAAAGUGAUUUUUACUUGAUUAAUUCAUAUAAAUGAAAGUUGGAGUAGGAAUAUUUUUAAGUGAAUAUUUUUAUCUUGAAAAGUGAUGUCUUCUUCAUUAGUUUUAAUAGUUUUCUCUCGUCAGUGGAGGAUAUAAAACUUCUAUAAGUUUCUUAAUUUAAUGAAAGUGCGGCUCUGAAAGAAAUCGAUCUUCUUCAUCUUCUACUUGAAGUGUAACAUUUAUCUCAAUUUUACAUUAAGAAUAGUGAAUGACAACGUUUAAUCUUAGAAAAUAUUGAAAAUGAAGGAUUUGAAGAUAAAAAGAAGUGAAGAGAAUUUAAAGACAAUAAGAAGAUAGAGGUACUGACUUCUAUGCGUGCUGGGGUUUGUGCUAAAUCUCCUAGCACCAUUUGAAAUCAGUACUACUCUUCUUAGCAAUCUUCAUCAUCAACCAUUGGGAAUCUACUGAGGAAGGAAGGAUACGGAUCUUCAACGGCGAAAUUGUUUUGCACAGAGGAAUUUCAGCUAACAGCCGAUGUGAAUCGUGUAUUCCUCUAUUCAACAGCCAAGCAUCUGCGCGACGUGCAUCACGCCACAUUGUCAAAGCACGUAGUCACCCCAUACGCGCCAGACAAUAGCCCUUCUUGGCUGCCCCCUGCGAGGCCAAGAACAACGGUAGCCAGCCUCUUGCCUAACGAAUUCGCGUGGAACACUAGGAACCAGCAACCAGAAGCUUACCAGGUUGCGGUGUGGUAGGCACAAUCACGCUGGGCCUGCUGUGAUGAUGAUGGACCCGGGCCGCAGACAUGUCUAGGGCUUCACUUUGAAUUGGAUCCCUCCUACGCUCUUUGCGCCACGCGCUACUUGGUUUCCGGUGGAGAUUCGUCGUCUUUGGCCUCUCCUCUAUGCAAUAAAAAAGCUUUUGCAUGAAAUUUUUUUACAUUCUAUUUAAUAUUAAGUUGAUAUUGAAGAUCUUUCUUUCUUAACAUUUUUUUAAUUUCCUUUUUUUAAUUUUUAAAGAUUUUAAUCAUUUUAAGAUAAGCUUGUAAAGUGUGAAUUUUUUUUGUUUUUAAUAUUUGAUUAUUUGAGAUUCUCUUUAUAAAAAAAUAUUUAUUUCAAGAUUUUAAAAUGGAUAUGAAAAUAUGGAUAAGAAUAGUAGAAAAUGAUACUCUUGAAAAAUGAAUAAAUUUGGAAUUGUAUUUUUUAACAUUUUAAAAGAGAACUUAUAAAUAAAUAUAAUAGAUUAUACAUUUUAAAUAA
Long non-coding RNA from Apis cerana (Asiatic honeybee), 1424 nucleotides. RefSeq lists it as uncharacterized. NCBI's taxonomy places the organism in Eukaryota, Metazoa, Arthropoda, Insecta, Hymenoptera, Apidae. The record is from RefSeq and is a predicted model, not a curated record.